This 2789-nucleotide ribosomal RNA is filed under the name Klebsiella oxytoca 10-5248. Its description in RNAcentral is "bacterial LSU rRNA". It matches the Rfam family "Bacterial large subunit ribosomal RNA". Lineage: Bacteria; Pseudomonadati; Pseudomonadota; Gammaproteobacteria; Enterobacterales; Enterobacteriaceae. The record is from RNAcentral.
AGCGUACACGGUGGAUGCCCUGGCAGUCAGAGGCGAUGAAGGACGUGCUAAUCUGCGAAAAGCGUCGGUAAGGUGAUAUGAACCGUUACAGCCGGCGAUGUCCGAAUGGGGAAACCCAGUGCAAUUCGUUGCACUAUCGUUAACUGAAUACAUAGGUUAACGAGGCGAACCGGGGGAACUGAAACAUCUAAGUACCCCGAGGAAAAGAAAUCAACCGAGAUUCCCCCAGUAGCGGCGAGCGAACGGGGAGCAGCCCGGAGUCUGAAUCAGCUUGUGUGUUAGUGGAAGCGUCUGGAAAGUCGCAGGGUACAGGGUGAUACUCCCGUACACUAAAACACACAGGCUGUGAACUCGAAGAGUAGGGCGGGACACGUGGUAUCCUGUCUGAAUAUGGGGGGACCAUCCUCCAAGGCUAAAUACUCCUGACUGACCGAUAGUGAACCAGUACCGUGAGGGAAAGGCGAAAAGAACCCCGGCGAGGGGAGUGAAAAAGAACCUGAAACCGUGUACGUACAAGCAGUAGGAGCCCACUAGUUGGGUGACUGCGUACCUUUUGUAUAAUGGGUCAGCGACUUAUAUUCUGUAGCAAGGUUAACCGUAUAGGGGAGCCGCAGGGAAACCGAGUCUUAACUGGGCGUUAAGUUGCAGGGUAUAGACCCGAAACCCGGUGAUCUAGCCAUGGGCAGGUUGAAGGUUGGGUAACACUAACUGGAGGACCGAACCGACUAAUGUUGAAAAAUUAGCGGAUGACUUGUGGCUGGGGGUGAAAGGCCAAUCAAACCGGGAGAUAGCUGGUUCUCCCCGAAAGCUAUUUAGGUAGCGCCUCGUGAACUCAUCUUCGGGGGUAGAGCACUGUUUCGGCUAGGGGGUCAUCCCGACUUACCAACCCGAUGCAAACUACGAAUACCGAAGAAUGUUAUCACGGGAGACACACGGCGGGUGCUAACGUCCGUCGUGAAGAGGGAAACAACCCAGACCGCCAGCUAAGGUCCCAAAGUCAUGGUUAAGUGGGAAACGAUGUGGGAAGGCCCAGACAGCCAGGAUGUUGGCUUAGAAGCAGCCAUCAUUUAAAGAAAGCGUAAUAGCUCACUGGUCGAGUCGGCCUGCGCGGAAGAUGUAACGGGGCUAAACCAUGCACCGAAGCUGCGGCAGCGACACUAUGUGUUGUUGGGUAGGGGAGCGUUCUGUAAGCCGUUGAAGGUGGCCUGUGAGGGUUGCUGGAGGUAUCAGAAGUGCGAAUGCUGACAUAAGUAACGAUAAUGCGGGUGAAAAACCCGCACGCCGGAAGACCAAGGGUUCCUGUCCAACGUUAAUCGGGGCAGGGUGAGUCGACCCCUAAGGCGAGGCCGAAAGGCGUAGUCGAUGGGAAACAGGUUAAUAUUCCUGUACUUGGUGUUACUGCGAAGGGGGGACGGAGAAGGCUAUGUUGGCCGGGCGACGGUUGUCCCGGUUUAAGCAUGUAGGCGGAUGUUCCAGGUAAAUCCGGAACGUCACUAACGCUGAGGUGUGAUGACGAGGCACUACGGUGCUGAAGUGACAAAUGCCCUGCUUCCAGGAAAAGCCUCUAAGCAUCAGGUAACAUCAAAUCGUACCCCAAACCGACACAGGUGGUCAGGUAGAGAAUACCAAGGCGCUUGAGAGAACUCGGGUGAAGGAACUAGGCAAAAUGGUGCCGUAACUUCGGGAGAAGGCACGCUGAUGGUAGGUGAAGUGACUUGCUCAUGGAGCUGAAAUCAGUCGAAGAUACCAGCUGGCUGCAACUGUUUAUUAAAAACACAGCACUGUGCAAACACGAAAGUGGACGUAUACGGUGUGACGCCUGCCCGGUGCCGGAAGGUUAAUUGAUGGGGUUAUCCUCGCGGAGAAGCUCUUGAUCGAAGCCCCGGUAAACGGCGGCCGUAACUAUAACGGUCCUAAGGUAGCGAAAUUCCUUGUCGGGUAAGUUCCGACCUGCACGAAUGGCGUAAUGAUGGCCAGGCUGUCUCCACCCGAGACUCAGUGAAAUUGAACUCGCUGUGAAGAUGCAGUGUACCCGCGGCAAGACGGAAAGACCCCGUGAACCUUUACUAUAGCUUGACACUGAACACUGGUCCUUGAUGUGUAGGAUAGGUGGGAGGCUUUGAAGUGUGGACGCCAGUCUGCAUGGAGCCAUCCUUGAAAUACCACCCUUUAAUGGCUGGUGUUCUAACGUGGGCCCGUGAUCCGGGUUGCGGACAGUGUCUGGUGGGUAGUUUGACUGGGGCGGUCUCCUCCUAAAGAGUAACGGAGGAGCACGAAGGUCAGCUAAUCCUGGUCGGACAUCAGGAGGUUAGUGCAAUGGCAUAAGCUGGCUUGACUGCGAGCGUGACGGCGCGAGCAGGUGCGAAAGCAGGUCAUAGUGAUCCGGUGGUUCUGAAUGGAAGGGCCAUCGCUCAACGGAUAAAAGGUACUCCGGGGAUAACAGGCUGAUACCGCCCAAGAGUUCAUAUCGACGGCGGUGUUUGGCACCUCGAUGUCGGCUCAUCACAUCCUGGGGCUGAAGUAGGUCCCAAGGGUAUGGCUGUUCGCCAUUUAAAGUGGUACGCGAGCUGGGUUUAGAACGUCGUGAGACAGUUCGGUCCCUAUCUGCCGUGGGCGCUGGAGAAUUGAGGGGGGCUGCUCCUAGUACGAGAGGACCGGAGUGGACGCAUCACUGGUGUUCGGGUUGUCAUGCCAAUGGCAUUGCCCGGUAGCUAAAUGCGGAAGAGAUAAGUGCUGAAAGCAUCUAAGCACGAAACUUGCCCCGAGAUGAGUUCUCCCUGACUCCUUGA